This 433-nucleotide ribosomal RNA is filed under the name uncultured bacterium. Its description in RNAcentral is "partial 16S ribosomal RNA". It matches the Rfam family "Bacterial small subunit ribosomal RNA", at positions 29 to 507 of the family's 1533-position model. The record is from RNAcentral.
AACGAACGCUGGCGGCAUGCCUAACACAUGCAAGUCGAACGAGACCAUCGGGUGUAUUGUCGCAUGGGUGCGUCACGCGUGGGAACCUGCACAUAGGUUUGGACUACCUCCCAGACAGGGGUGCUAAUAGCGGAUAAUAUCUACGGCCGAAUGAUUUAUCGACUUUGGUUGUGCAAGCGUUGAAUUAGCUCGUUCGUAGGGUAAAAGCCUACCAAGGCGACGAUCAAUAACUGGUUUAUGAGGAUGAUCAGCCACACUGGGACUAAGACCCGGCCGGGACUCCUACGGGAUGCAGCAGUGGGUAAUAUUGGACCAUGGGCGGAAGGCUGAUCCAGUAAUGCCGCGUGAGUGAUGAAGGCCUUAGGGUUGUAAAGCUCUUGUAACCGGGAUGAUAAUGACAGUACCGGGAGAAUAAGCCCCGGCUAACUCCGUG